GCUAGAGUAUGGUAGGGGUCAGGGGAAUUCCCAGUGUAGCGGUGAAAUGCGUAGAUAUUGGGAAGAACACCGGUGGCGAAAGCGCCUGACUGGGCCAUAACUGACACUCAUGGACGGAAGCUAGGGGAGCGAAAGGGAUUAGAUACCCCUGUAGUCCUAGCCGUAAACGAUGGACACUAGGUGUUGCCCGUAUCGACCCGGGCGGUGCCGUAGCUAACGCGUUAAGUGUCCCGCCUGGGGAGUACGCACGCAAGUGUGAAACUCAAAGGAAUUGACGGGGGCCCGCACAAGCGGUGGAGUAUGUGGUUUAAUUCGAUGCAACGCGAAGAACCUUACCAGGAUUUGACAUCCCGCGAAUUCCCUUGAAAGGGGGAAGUGCCUUCGGGAGCGCGGAGACAGGUGGUGCAUGGCUGUCGUCAGCUCGUGUCGUGAGAUGUUGGGUUAAGUCCCGCAACGAGCGCAACCCACGUUUUUAGUUGCCAUCAUUUAGUUGGGCACUCUAGAGAGACUGCCGGUGACAAACCGGAGGAAGGUGUGGAUGACGUCAAGUCAGCAUGCCCCUUACGUUCUGGGCUACACACGUACUACAAUGCUUCGGACAGAGGGUCGCCAGGCCGCGAGGUCGAGCUAAUCCCGUAAACCGAGGCUCAGUUCAGAUUGCAGGCUGCAACUCGCCUGCAUGAAGGCGGAAUCGCUAGUAAUCGCCGGUCAGCAUACGGC
RNAcentral lists this unclassified non-coding RNA (720 nucleotides) under uncultured cyanobacterium. Its description in RNAcentral is "bacterial SSU rRNA". It matches the Rfam family "Bacterial small subunit ribosomal RNA", at positions 640 to 1360 of the family's 1533-position model. The record is from RNAcentral. Lineage: Bacteria; Bacillati; Cyanobacteriota.